This 460-nucleotide ribosomal RNA is filed under the name uncultured bacterium. RNAcentral's name for it is "partial 16S ribosomal RNA". It matches the Rfam family "Bacterial small subunit ribosomal RNA", at positions 338 to 795 of the family's 1533-position model. The record is from RNAcentral.
CCUACGGGUGGCAGCAGUGAGGAAUAUUGGUCAAUGGACGCGAGUCUGAACCAGCCAAGUAGCGUGAAGGAUGACUGCCCUACGGGUUGUAAACUUCUUUUAUAUGGGAAUAAAAUGUUCCACGUGUGCCAUUUUGUAUGUACUUUAUGAAUAAGGAUCGGCUAACUCCGUGCCAGCAGCCGCGGUAAUACGGAGGAUCCGAGCGUUAUCCGGAUUUAUUGGGUUUAAAGGGAGCGUAGAUGGGUUGUUAAGUCAGUUGUGAAAGUUUGCGGCUCAACCGUAAAAUUGCAGUUGAUACUGGCAGUCUGGAGUACAGUAGAGGUAGGCGGAAUUCGUGGUGUAGCGGUGAAAUGCUUAGAUAUCACGAAGAACUCCGAUUGCGAAGGCAGCUCACUAAACUGCAACUGACACUGAUGCUCGAAAGUGUGGGUAUCAAACAGGAUUAGAUACCCGGGUAGUC